This 401-nucleotide ribosomal RNA is filed under the name uncultured bacterium. RNAcentral describes it as "bacterial SSU rRNA". It matches the Rfam family "Bacterial small subunit ribosomal RNA", at positions 28 to 418 of the family's 1533-position model. The record is from RNAcentral.
GAUGAACGCUGGCGGCGUGCCUAAUACAUGCAAGUCGAACGCGCAGCGAAAGGUGCUUGCACCUUUCAAGCGAGUGGCGAACGGGUGAGUAACACGUGGAUAACCUGCCUCAAGGCUGGGGAUAACAUUUGGAAACAGAUGCUAAUACCGAAUAAAACUUAGUAUCGCAUGAUACAAAGUUGAAAGGCGCUACGGCGUCACCUAGAGAUGGGUCCGCGGUGCAUUAGUUAGUUGGUGGGUAAAGGCCUACCAAGACAAUGAUGCAUAGCCGAGUUGAGAGACUGAUCGGCCACAUUGGGACUGAGACACGGCCCAAAACUCCUAACGGGAGGCUGCAGUAGGGAAUCUUCCACAAUGGCGAAAGCCUGAUGGAGCAACGCCGCGUGUGUGAUGAAGGCUUU